UACUCCAUGUCUGCUGUGAACAUGUACAAUUGAAGAUCUCUACAUACCUCAUGUCUGGUGUGAACAUGUACAAUUGAAGGUCUCUACAUACCUCAUGUCUGGUGUGAACAUAUACAAUUGAAGGUCUCUACAUACUCCAUGUCUGGUGUGAACAUGUACAAUUGAAGGUCUCUGCAUACUCCAUGUCUGGUGUGAACAUGUACAAUUGAAGGUCUCUACAUACUCCAUGUCUGGUGUGAACAUGUACAAUUGAAGGUCUCUACAUACCCCAUGUCUGGUGUGAACAUGUACAAUUGAAGGUCUCUACAUACUCCAUGUCUGGUGUGAACAUGUACAAUUGGAGGUCUCUACAUACCCCAUGUCUGGUGUGAACAUGUACAAUUGAAGGUCUCUACAUACCUCAUGUCUGGUGAAAAUAUGUACAAUUGAAGGUCUCUACAUACCUCAUGUCUGGUGUGAACAUGUACAAUUGAAGGUCUCUACAUACCCCAUGUCUGGUGUGAACAUGUACAAUUGAAUGUCUCAUCUUUGGAAUUGGGACACGUGGAAAGUUAGUGAUUUUUUUCAGACAGAAAUCGCAUAGUGACAAAUCACAACAAAAAAUGGAAAGCAAGAAAGUCUUGUGGCCAGCAAUGUUUUUAUGUGACCACUAAGUUGUGUUCAAAGAAAAACAAUAGUUCAUGUUUUAUUGGAACUAUGAUGCUGUCAGUCAUUUUAUGUUGAAGGCUUUAAAUAACUAUAUUUAAUUAUAAUAAGAUUAAGAUUACUUGAUAAAAGAAAUAAUGUUAUAUAGUAUUUUAAGCGCAAAAUUUACAAGUCUAUCCAAUUACUGUGUCUGUAUUAUGACAUUUUAUUUUGGAAAUGUUAAGGAAAAUAUAAUGUUAGUAAAUAUAUGUCUAUGAAUGUUGAUUUUGACAUUUGUCAAAGCUGUUUAAAUGAUGCUGCUAACUUCGACAAAAUUUAAAGAAAUGUAUUAUUUUCAUGUAAUGAGACAUGCUUCAGUUUUUUGUGGCUUAACCUGUAAUAUAGAGGUGGUAGUUACAAGAAUUGUUUAGCCAGAUGGAGAAUGUUUAUGCUAUGGCUUUGAUACUCUUAAGUGUGCCCAUUGGUGUCAGGUUUUUAUCAAGAAUAUUGUUUAUUGUCUAACAAUUUCUUGAAAAUAUUGAUUAAUUUUAGACAAAAUCAUUUAAUCUUCCUUAAAUUGUCUAUUCUGUAUUCACGACCAGUUAUUUAUUAAUUUGCAUGAAUAUGAUUUAUGAAUGACUUUUGUGUUGCUUAAAAUGCUUUAUUUGUUUUGGAACUGAGUAUUUAAAAACGAAAAUAUGAGGUGUAGGAAAAAUGGCCAAAGUUAUGAUAAUUAUUUUUUUGUUUUUGUAAAGUUUAUUAUGCUUUAUAUGUUUGUGUAUAGGCAUUUAGACGACCAGAUUAACUUGACCAAUAAUUCGUGCUCACUGUAUAUAUCGGUCAGUACAUUAGUCACUUGUAUAUAUAGCAAUUGUGAAAUGAUUGUAUUUGCAAUGUAAAUCAUGCGUUUAUUGUUGCCAUUUUGAUUUUCGCUGUUAACAUUUAUUUGUAAUAACAAUUUUCAUCAUGUACAUCUUUUAGGUGCCAGAUAAUAUAAAAAAACAUUGCUUGUGGGAAUGCUCAUUUAAAACUUUCUUAAUGAUACAGAACAACACAUUCUGAAGAGGCAAAUAUGCUUUAGGCAAUAGGAACAUCUUGUUACUAGUAUAUGUAAUGCCUUUCACUAAAUAAAGUCAAGCAACUAUUGAAAGAUUGGUUUAACUUUAUUUUGCAUUAUUUUAAGAAAAAUUAAUAUAUUCAACUUGGAAAUCAGUCAAUUGCAAAUCAAGCGAGAGUGAUGAAUAUUUUUAAGCAAGAUAGAGGGAUGUUUUUGCUUGAAAAAAAGUUGUAUCCCUUGUUAGAUAAUGAUUUUGUUCAUCUCUCAACAUAACAAGUGCAUUCAUACAGCUAUCAAAAAUAUGACACACUUAAUACUCAGCCAUCAGUUUGUAUUGGGGUUUUGUGGAAUACUUACUAAACUAAUAUACGUCUGUUCAAUGAAUUAAUAGUUAUGGUACAAUAUGAUACUCAGUGUUAAAAAACAUGUGUAAUAAAAAUAUAAUGGCAUUUAUUUGAAAUCAUAAAAUUUAGUUUUCCAUACAAUGCUUACAGUUUUGCAAUUGCGACGAUAAAGGAAAUUUUCUGCUCAAAAAAUGUCUGUUAAAGACAUGUGUAUAUUGUAGCAAUUAUAUUGUACUUGUAUUUAUAUUAUACAUGAUAAUAAUUGAUUUAUGGCUGAUGAUAGCGGCAGUUUACUAUUUGUGUAACAGUUUGACCAUAUUUCCUUAAACAUGUGAUUGUUUAUAAUGAACUGUAAUUGAAUGCAUGAUACAUUGUUGUUCUGUUGCUUAACAGCUGAAAAUAGCUUGAUGUUUGUUAAUUGUGUGAAAUGUUUCAAAUUAAUCAUAUUGAUACAUAGAAAAUAAAAUUACAUUUUGCGUUUAUUUAAAUGCAUAUCAAACAAUUGUUACCAUACAAGCAUAUUUGCAUUGAACUUAAUUGAUACUUUGAGAUGCAAUUUUUCCAUUAAUGUGUAAAUAUUUUCAUCUUUUCCAAAUGAACAUUUUGCAUUUGUAAAUAUAGGGUUUAUAUAAACUUUAUAGAAACUUAUUAAAUGCUUUAUAUAAAUUGAUUGUGUACCUCAUAUUGAUUAAAAACUCUCUUAUUUAUUGCACAGUUGUGUGUGCAUAUGUCUGACUUAUGUCUUCAUAGUCCUUAAAGUUAAAUUACUGUAAAUAGUAUUUUAUAAUAAUGUUGAAAUAUUUAUCUAAACUAUAUACAGGUUAUCUGUUAAAUUAAGUUUCAUACAUUUGCAUUGUCUAGCUAAUUAAAUUGGAGUGUUUAUAUUCUUGCCUACAUGCAGUGUAUGGUUUAGACAAAGCACAUUACACAACUCAUGUUGUUUUAUCCAUCAUUACUAACCAGUGUUAAAUCCGUAGAGGUUAAAGUAUACUAAAUAUUUCGGUUGUGCAAUGCUAUGCUCUCUAAAUAAAUCAACACCAUUUAUUGAUUUUCUAUGUGUGCAACUUAAUUCCUAUGACUUUAUUUGUGAAUAUUUAUUUGAAUGUGCGGUAGGGAAAACAUUGUUUGCUUGAAUGUUAGCAGAGUAGCUGGGGAAAAGAUUGCUGUUAAACAAUGUAAGACAGAACUCCACGCAAGAUAUGUCAUGCAUGCGAUAUGCAUGAACUAUCUUUUUAAAAUAAUUUGGAUCUGAAUUAUCUUUAACAAAUGGUAUGGUUAUGAGGGUCUCUAUGUGCAAAAUGUUGCAUUUAUUUAGUGUACAAGUUAUUGCUUAAACAUUGAAUUUGUUAUGGAAAUAAUAUAGUUUAUGUGACUUAAAGAGAUUUACAUGUUUAUGUUAGUGAUGUGUUUUUGCUGAUCCAAGUCUGUUCCUGCACACUAUUUAAAGUAGAUAACUACAAGUUAUCUCAUUUAAAUGGGAAAAGUAUUGUACUGUGAAAAAGUGUUGUGAAUUCAAAUAAAAAUACUAUGAAC
Long non-coding RNA from Dreissena polymorpha, 3558 nucleotides. RefSeq lists it as uncharacterized. The transcript is spliced from 2 exons. The record is from RefSeq and is a predicted model, not a curated record. Lineage: Eukaryota; Metazoa; Mollusca; Bivalvia; Myida; Dreissenidae.